This 191-nucleotide antisense RNA is filed under the name Klebsiella indica. RNAcentral's name for it is "Yersinia sRNA 251". It matches the Rfam family "Yersinia sRNA 251". From Rfam's summary of the family: Antisense to phoH gene. Trimmed on 5'end from the original size. The record is from RNAcentral. Lineage: Bacteria; Pseudomonadati; Pseudomonadota; Gammaproteobacteria; Enterobacterales; Enterobacteriaceae.
UAGGCCUGAAGCGCACGCUGACAAAGGGUUGAUCGCACGCAAUCGUCCGCCGUAAAGCGCACAAUGCCCACCAUCUCAUCUUCCUCAAAACGCGCCAGCGCAUCGGCAAGGCCCGACCUCACCCCAGAUGGCAAAUCGCACUGGGUAAUGUCGCCGUUGACGAUAACCGUCACGUUUUCCCCGAGGCGAGU